RNAcentral lists this unclassified non-coding RNA (357 nucleotides) under soil metagenome. RNAcentral's name for it is "partial contains 5.8S ribosomal RNA, internal transcribed spacer 2, and large subunit ribosomal RNA". The stretch from base 1 to 120 matches the Rfam family "5.8S ribosomal RNA", at positions 35 to 154 of the family's 154-position model. The record is from RNAcentral.
GAUGAAGAACGCAGCGAAAUGCGAUACGUAAUGUGAAUUGCAGAAUUCAGUGAAUCAUCGAAUCUUUGAACGCACAUUGCGCCCGCUGGUAUUCCGGCGGGCAUGCCUGUUCGAGCGUCAUUUCAACCCUCAAGCUCUCCGGAGUUUGGUGUUGGGGCGCCUGGGGCUUUUCGACCUCAGGGCCCUCAAGUCCAUCGGCGGGACCGCCAGGACACUGAGCGCAGUAGUAUUAUUUCGCUCGGUAGGAUCUUCCACGGCGGGUCGAUCUGGCCGCUAAACCCCCCAAUUCUCACCAAAGGUUGACCUCGGAUCAGGUAGGAAUACCCGCUGAACUUAAGCAUAUCAAUAAGCGGAGGA